UGGAGUCAAUUGCUUGCUGCUGCCCUGCAGAUGUUCUACUCCUGUUUCUGCGUUUAUUUUUAUUCAUCCAAAUGGGAAAGAAAUGCAACAUGUCAAGGCAUUACAAACCGCAGCAGCCAGACAAGGAGUCUAUGGCAGAGUCCAACAUAUUCCACACAAAGGAGCCGCAGUGUGGGUGCUGCUCGCAGGGUCCCUUUGGAUGAAGGCCAGGCAUCUCUGGGCGAGGCACUGAUGAUAGUCCACACAUGCAGGCUGCUGCUUCAAGCACGUUGACACUUGGAAAGUCCAGAGUCUACAUGUCACCACAGGCCCAGAAAGCAAGGGGCAGUCCGUGGUGCUUGUGGUUUCCAAUGUUUAACAGUAUACAUCAUGAAAUUAUUGCCAAAGACUUUGUACUGCAAAUUAUGCUAUUUACACUGUAUACUUGGGAAAACAGUAAAUACAAAUGGGCAUUAUAAACAGACUCCUAAGCACUAACUUGGCCAACAUCAGACCCAAAUAAGCUAAAGCCAGGAGAAAAAUGCCACCUGUAACUCUCCAAAAGGCAGG
Molecule: long non-coding RNA, 549 nt
Filed under: Rattus norvegicus (Norway rat)
Lineage: Eukaryota; Metazoa; Chordata; Mammalia; Rodentia; Muridae
Description: long non-coding RNA NONRATT018095
Source: RNAcentral